GAUGAACGCUGGCGGCGUGCCUAAUACAUGCAAGUCGAGCGAACAGAUGAGGAGCUUGCUCCUCUGACGUUAGCGGCGGACGGGUGAGUAACACGUGGAUAACCUACCUAUAAGACUGGGAUAACUUCGGGAAACCGGAGCUAAUACCGGAUAAUAUAUUGAACCGCAUGGUUCAAUAGUGAAAGACGGUUUUGCUGUCACUUAUAGAUGGAUCCGCGCCGCAUUAGCUAGUUGGUAAGGUAACGGCUUACCAAGGCAACGAUGCGUAGCCGACCUGAGAGGGUGAUAGGCCAAACUGGAACUGAGACACGGUCCAGACUCCUACGGGAGGCAGCAGUAGGGAAUCUUCCGCAAUGGGCGAAAGCUUGACGGAGAAACGCCGCGUGAGUGAUGAAGGUCUUCGGAUCGUAAAACUCUGUUAUUAGGGAAGAACAAAUGUGUAAGUAACUAUGCACGUCUUGACGGUACCUAAUCAGAAAGCCACGGCUAACUACGUG
Molecule: ribosomal RNA, 497 nt
Filed under: uncultured bacterium
Lineage: Bacteria
Description: partial 16S ribosomal RNA
Rfam family: Bacterial small subunit ribosomal RNA
Source: RNAcentral